This 382-nucleotide ribosomal RNA is filed under the name uncultured eukaryote. RNAcentral's name for it is "partial 18S ribosomal RNA". It matches the Rfam family "Eukaryotic small subunit ribosomal RNA", at positions 592 to 976 of the family's 1831-position model. The record is from RNAcentral.
CAAUAGCGUAUAUUAAAGUUGUUGCAGUUAAAGAGCUCGUAGUUGGAUUUCUGGUUGAAGCGACCGGUCGGGCGUUGAUUCGUCUGCACUGGAGUCGGUUUUGGCCAUCCUCUAGGAAAGUGCGUCUGGUAUUAAGUUAUCGGGCGUAUGAUCCUGGUCUUUUACUGUGAAAAAAUUAGAGUGUUUAAAGCAGGCCUUCGCCUUGAAUACAUUAGCAUGGAAUAAUAAGAUAGGACUUUGGUCUAUUUUGUUGGUUUGCAGACCGAAGUAAUGAUUAAUAGGGAUAGUUGGGGGUAUUUAUAUUCCGAUGUCAGAGGUGAAAUUCUUAGAUUUUCGGAAGAUAAACUUAUGCGAAAGCAUUUACCAAGGAUGUUUUCAUUAA